UACGUAGGGAGCAAGCGUUGUCCGGAAUCAUUGGGCGUAAAGCGCGCGUAGGUGGCCUCAUAAGUCCGCUGUGAAAGUCAAAGGCUCAACCUUUGAAAGCCGGUGGAUACUGUGAGGCUAGAGUACGGAAGAGGCGAGUGGAAUUCCUGGUGUAGCGGUGGAAUGCGCAGAUAUCAGGAGGAACACCAAUAGCGAAGGCAGCUCGCUGGGACGUUACUGACACUAAGGCGCGAAAGCGUGGGGAGCGAACAGG
This 253-nucleotide ribosomal RNA is filed under the name uncultured bacterium. RNAcentral's name for it is "partial 16S ribosomal RNA". It matches the Rfam family "Bacterial small subunit ribosomal RNA", at positions 524 to 776 of the family's 1533-position model. The record is from RNAcentral.